UACGGGGGGGGCAAGCGUUGUUCGGAAUUACUGGGCGUAAAGGGCUCGUAGGCGGCCAACUAAGUCGGACGUGAAAUCCCCAGGCUCAACCUGGGAACUGCGUCCGAUACUGGAUGGCUUGAAUCCGGGAGAGGGAUGCAGAAUUCCAGGUGUAGCGGUGAAAUGCGUAGAUAUCUGGAGGAAUACCGGUGGCGAAGGCGGCAUCCUGGACCAUAACUGACGCUGAGGCGCGAAAGCUAGGGGAGCGAACAGG
This 253-nucleotide ribosomal RNA is filed under the name uncultured bacterium. RNAcentral describes it as "partial 16S ribosomal RNA". It matches the Rfam family "Bacterial small subunit ribosomal RNA", at positions 524 to 776 of the family's 1533-position model. The record is from RNAcentral.